Long non-coding RNA from Peromyscus leucopus (white-footed mouse), 1290 nucleotides. RefSeq lists it as uncharacterized. The record is from RefSeq and is a predicted model, not a curated record. The transcript has 2 exons. Lineage: Eukaryota; Metazoa; Chordata; Mammalia; Rodentia; Cricetidae.
CAGGCUGCCUUUCACACAGCUCCAGCUGUCAGGCUGCCCUGCACCCGCUCUGCACAGCCUCCCCACAUGCUCGCUGCCAGCCUGGACCAGAACUGGAUCUAGGAGGACGCUGCACCCCGGUGUCUGACCCCACAGAAUUUCCUAGCUCCAAAUCUUCAGAUGUGAGUACACAACCUGGAGUGACUGCAGUGACCAGAAAAAUAAGAACAGACCACUAUGGAAUGUGGGUGAGUAAUAAAGAGGGGAUAACAGGAAACAAGUGAUCUAAAGGGGGAAAUGGAAAACCAGGAAAAGAGAUUUAAUUAUGGAGAAGAGACAAACAAAACAUAGAAGGAGGAUGUCUAAAAAGUCAUAAGAAAUCAUACUAUUAUCCAUCCAACAAAAUAUGCCAUAUAUAUAUAUAUAUAUAUCCAUACAAAUACAUUUAGAGUGUAAUUGAAACAUCUCCAUUUGGGCUGAUGAUGAUCCUCACAAGAGCCAUAGAUUUUCUAACAAAACCACUCACACAAGGCAUGAGAAGCCUGUUUUGAAGUUGUUUGUCACAGCUGUCCAAGAGGCACCCAAAACACAGGCUACUGCUAUUGUCCAUGCUUGCUUCCCAGAGGUAGAAGGUGAAUUUCUAUUGUUGAAGAAGCCAUACACUUCACACGUAUAACCCAGAGGAUGCAAGAUGGAUAUGACCUUAAAGCCUCCUCCUUGGGGACUAGCUUUCAUGGUACUACUAGGCAACAUGCAACCUUCCAAAAGAGGAAGCCAGCCAACAGUCCUACCCAGCUAUGACACCUGUGAACCACAACAAUGAUCUGCACUGCAUGAUAGCCCUAAGGGUGCAAGAGUGGCACACAGACCUUGGUGGUAAUCACAGCUUCUAUUUGGAUUAAGACACUGUCAACAAGGGGGAAAUCAUGCCUGGUACUGGAAACCUAGUCAAUUUCCCCAGGGUUAGUGAAGUCAAGGAUCCUGGAGAGGAACCUACAAUCAUUACUUUACUAAAUCAGCAUAAUCCCUAACUGCAAUCUAAAUAUUUAUCCUUAUUCCCACAGAAAAAUGUAGUUCUCACCUCUCAUCAAUAAAAAUAAUUUAUGCAAUACAUAGAGGUUGUUACAGAAAACAACAGUCAGAAUGCAGGGUUGUGGUGCCCAGUCUCCACUGACACAUAAGCAACACAACUCCUUUGUGUUCAGGGAUCACUGGGAAAGAGGGGCAGAAAUACUGUAAGAGCCAGAGGAACAGGAAAUGUCAGAGAAGCUACAUGCAUGAAAUCAUACAAACAUGCUGAUUAAACAUGAA